RNAcentral lists this non-coding RNA (183 nucleotides) under Brevibacillus aydinogluensis. RNAcentral's name for it is "6S / SsrS RNA". It matches the Rfam family "6S / SsrS RNA". From Rfam's summary of the family: E. coli 6S RNA was the first non coding RNA to be sequenced, but its function was unknown until recently. It consists of 184 nucleotides that fold into an extended hairpin structure with a large single-stranded internal bulge. Lineage: Bacteria; Bacillati; Bacillota; Bacilli; Caryophanales; Paenibacillaceae. The record is from RNAcentral. RNAcentral also lists the same sequence under 4 other names.
AUAGCCCUGCGAUGCCCGUGACUUCCGAAUAGUUUUGAGCCACAAACACAUUCAUGGGAGUCUGCCGUCCCACCCGCGAGGACACGCCUCCAUCGAGUGGACGUCCGGAACGGUUGGGCGAGACACCCACCUGCCAGGCGCAGGUUCAAAACUUCAGGAGCUGCACGGCAUUAUGGGGCUCCU